CUACGGGGUGCUCCAGUGAGGAAUAUUGCACAAUGGGGGGAACCCUGAUGCAGCAACGCCGCGUGGAGGAUGACGCAUUUCGGUGUGUAAACUCCUUUUAUAUGUCAAGAAAAUGACGGUAGCAUAUGAAUAAGCACCGGCUAACUCCGUGCCAGCAGCCGCGGUAAUACGGAGGGUGCAAGCGUUACUCGGAAUCACUGGGCGUAAAGGACGCGUAGGCGGGUUGGAAAGUCAGGUGUGAAAUCCUACAGCUUAACUGUAGAACUGUACUUGAAACUUCUAAUCUAGAGUAUGGGAGGGGGAGAUGGAAUUAGCGGUGUAGGGGUAAAAUCCGUAGAUAUCACUAGGAAUACCUAAAGCGAAGGCGAUCUCCUGGAACAUUACUUACGCUAAGGCGUGAAAGCGUGGGGAGCAAACAGGAUUAGAUACCCCGGUAGUC
Molecule: ribosomal RNA, 439 nt
Filed under: uncultured bacterium
Lineage: Bacteria
Description: partial 16S ribosomal RNA
Rfam family: Bacterial small subunit ribosomal RNA
Source: RNAcentral